This is a non-coding RNA of Micropterus salmoides (largemouth bass), 673 nucleotides long. The record is from the annotation of a RefSeq genome assembly. NCBI's taxonomy places the organism in Eukaryota, Metazoa, Chordata, Actinopteri, Centrarchiformes, Centrarchidae.
ACAUGAACCACUGGCUGAGAAACAUCCUGAUUCUGACUCUCUGGCUAGAGUGUAAAGGAGAAGACAGAGUGACCCAGCCAGCAGGAGAUGUCAUUGCUGCUGAAGGAGACACAGUUACACUUGGCUGUACUUUUGAGACGAGUUAUCCUGGUCCAACUUUGUUCUGGUACAAACAGGAGAGAAACAACAGCCCCAAAUUCAUACUGAACCGCAUUCAACGGGAUGAAGGGAAAACAGCAGACGAGUUUAAGGAGAGAUUUUCAUCCACACUGGAUUCCACCUCAAGAUCAGUUCCUCUGAAGAUCCAGAAGCUUCAGCUGUCUGACUCUGCUGUGUACUACUGUGCUCUGCAGCCCACAGUGACAGGAAACACCAAAACUCUGUACAAAAACCUUUGGAGCAAAGACAACAGAAUACUCCACAACGUCCACUAGAGGGAGUCACACACUGUUAAACUUCAGUGGUUUAUGAUAUAGUCAGGAUUUGUUUUAGUGGUGAUAGAAGCAACAUUAAAUGAAGCACCACAGAUAAAACACAAUAAACAAAUAACAGAACUUGAAUAUGUUCAUAGUAUUUUCAAAGUAUCUCCAAUACUACUCCAGCAGAUUGUUUUCACAGACAAUUGAAAUGCUUGGUGAUUGUAACCAUUGCAAGCUUUAAGCUGUGCUGCCUG